This 253-nucleotide ribosomal RNA is filed under the name uncultured bacterium. RNAcentral describes it as "partial 16S ribosomal RNA". It matches the Rfam family "Bacterial small subunit ribosomal RNA", at positions 524 to 776 of the family's 1533-position model. The record is from RNAcentral.
UACGGAGGGUGCGAGCGUUGUCCGGAAUCACUGGGCGUAAAGGGCGCGUAGGCGGCGCGGGUAGUCAUCGGUGAAAGUUCAGGGCUCAACUCUGAAUCGGCCGGUGAUACUCCCGUGCUCGAGCACUGUAGAGGCAGGUGGAAUUCCGGGUGUAGUGGUGGAAUGCGUAGAGAUCCGGAAGAACACCGGUGGCGAAGGCGGCCUGCUGGGCAGUAGCUGACGCUGAUGCGCGACAGCGUGGGGAGCAAACAGG